RNAcentral lists this ribosomal RNA (450 nucleotides) under uncultured bacterium. RNAcentral describes it as "partial 16S ribosomal RNA". It matches the Rfam family "Bacterial small subunit ribosomal RNA", at positions 354 to 796 of the family's 1533-position model. The record is from RNAcentral.
GUGGGGAAUAUUGGACAAUGGGCGAAAGCCUGAUCCAGCCAUGCCGCGUGUGUGAAGAAGGUCUUCGGAUUGUAAAGCACUUUAAGUUGGGAGGAAGGGCAUUAACCUAAUACGUUAGUGUUUUGACGUUACCGACAGAAUAAGCACCGGCUAACUCUGUGCCAGCAGCCGCGGUAAUACAGAGGGUGCAAGCGUUAAUCGGAAUUACUGGGCGUAAGGCGCGCGUAGGUGGUUCGUUAAGUUGGAUGUGAAAUCCCCGGGCUCAACCUGGGAACUGCAUCCAAAACUGGCGAGCUAGAGUAGGGCAGAGGGUGGUGGAAUUUCCUGUGUAGCGGUGAAAUGCGUAGAUAUAGGAAGGAACACCAGUGGCGAAGGCGACCACCUGGGCUCAUACUGACACUGAGGUGCGAAAGCGUGGGGAGCAAACAGGAUUAGAUACCCUAGUAGUCC